AACGCACAUUGCGCCCUUUGGCAUUCCGAAGGGCAUGCCUGUUCGAGCGUCAUUAUCACCUCUCAAGCCCCCGGCUUGGUGUUGGACGGUUUGGUCGGGGUAACACCCGACCCCUCCCAAAGACAAUGACGGCGGCCUCGUGGGACCCCCGGUACACUGAGCUUUCCUUAACGGAGCACGUACCGGACUUGAGGGUCUCCAGGCCACGGUCUCUUGAUUCCUGUUGUCACAGACGGGAAGCACCUAUUUUUCAAGGUUGACCUCGGAUCAGGUAGGAAUACCCGCUGAACUUAA
RNAcentral lists this unclassified non-coding RNA (294 nucleotides) under uncultured fungus. RNAcentral's name for it is "partial contains 5.8S ribosomal RNA, internal transcribed spacer 2, and large subunit ribosomal RNA". The record is from RNAcentral. Lineage: Eukaryota; Fungi.